Long non-coding RNA from Pygocentrus nattereri (red-bellied piranha), 1335 nucleotides. Lineage: Eukaryota; Metazoa; Chordata; Actinopteri; Characiformes; Serrasalmidae. The record is from Ensembl.
CAGGAACAGGGGGAGAGAGGGAGGAGGAGGAGGAGGGCUGUGACUAAAGCCUGUCUCUCAGAGAGGAGUGUGUGCCGUGUGGAUCUCGCUUGAUAUAUUCACCAGGCAGUGCAGAGGAGAGGACCUGAGAGGAAGUGUCUUGUUGCUCAUAGGAAGAGUGCAGGAGUGUUCAUGUGUGGAGUCCAGUAAACUGAGACACAAAGGAAUACUAAGCUUUUCUGGAAAAAAGAACUGCUCUGUCAGCUCUAGAAGUCCAGUGAAGAGACGGUGCAGUUGGACCAAAAGAAGAGGUACUCCAGUCCAGGAGGAAAGCAAGAAACAGAGGAAAGAGAGAUGUCAAGUGCCAUUCUGAGACGAAACUCCAGCAAGCAGGGCUUGCAGAACCUCCUAAGAGUGACAGCCCAGCGCAGUAUUGAGGAUGCAGAGGAGAUUGAGAGGGAGCGACGACGCAGGGCUCGAGAAGCUCUCCGGAAGGAAAAGAGUCUCACUGGAACUUCCGGGUCUCCUCAGGACAGCUCAGUACCAACUGAAGAUCGUCUCUAUGAGAGCGAGCUGAAACCAAGCAGCCCUGGAGGACUGGAGGAGGAUGAAGGCUUCAGUGACUGGACCCAGAGAGCAGAAAGGGGCAGACGGGCCAGACAGGAGGAGAACGGCCCCAGAGAAGAGGACCUGGAGGUGGAAAGAGCCAUGAAUGGAGCAACCAGGGGACAGGAGAAGAUAGGCUCCACCGCACUCACUCCGCAGCAUAAGGCGCAAUACGAAGUGAAGGAAGAGGAGGAGUACAGGCCAGUGAGGAAGAGUAGCGAGAAACGGAUGGAGUUUGGAGAGCGGCCAAGCAGCUUCAGGGACAGAGAGGCAGAGGAAUGGAAGGCAGAGGUGUCGAGAGUUGACAAGAGACAAAAUGAGGAUCCAAGAUCGCACACAGAAGUGAAAGAAAAGAGACAAGAAGUAAAGGUCUCAUACACAUCUAAAGUCUUCCUGCAGCAUGACAGAAUGCCCAGUGCCAACGGUGAUGAUACUGCUGGAGAGGAAGUCACAUCACAGCUGUUCAAAACCAAAAAGACUACAAGGAGCGUGGAUCAGGCCCCUGAACCAAGGGAGCAGGCUGAGGCCAGUCUGGAAACAGAGCAGAAGCUGGAGAAGAUCCGACGCAGCCACCAAGAGAAGGAGAGCCAGGAGUUGGAGCAGCUCCGCCAGCGGCAGGCCGAGGCCGAGGUGGAGCUAGAGGAACUGAAGAGGAGGAGAGAAGAACGACGGAGAUUCCGCCAGGAAGAGGAGCGCAGAAGGGAAGAGGAGGAGCAGCACAGACUAGUGAAGGAGGAGGUGCUGGAAUAG